This 251-nucleotide ribosomal RNA is filed under the name uncultured bacterium. Its description in RNAcentral is "partial 16S ribosomal RNA". It matches the Rfam family "Bacterial small subunit ribosomal RNA", at positions 524 to 775 of the family's 1533-position model. The record is from RNAcentral.
UACGUAGGUGGCGAGCGUUAUCCGGAUUUAUUGGGCGUAAAGCGUGCGCAGGCGGUUUGCUAAGUCUAAGAUAAAAUCCCGAAGCUUAGCUUCGGUUCGUUUUAGAAACUGGCAGACUUGAGUAUGGUAGAGGCAAAUGGAAUUUCUAGUGUAGCGGUAGAAUGCGUAGAUAUUAGAAGGAACACCAGUGGCGAAGGCGGUUUGCUGGGCCAUUACUGACGCUCAUGCACGAAAGCGUGGGGAGCAAAUAG